CUCUGCGCAAGGGAUCUUUUGGUUCGCUAGACGAAGAAGGGCGCA
Molecule: ribosomal RNA, 45 nt
Filed under: Loma branchialis
Lineage: Eukaryota; Fungi; Microsporidia; Glugeidae
Description: partial large subunit ribosomal RNA
Source: RNAcentral